Molecule: ribosomal RNA, 468 nt
Filed under: uncultured bacterium
Lineage: Bacteria
Description: partial 16S ribosomal RNA
Rfam family: Bacterial small subunit ribosomal RNA
Source: RNAcentral
GACGAACGCUGGCGGCGUGCUUAACACAUGCAAGUCGAACGGCAAGGCCCUGCUUUCGUGGGGUGCUCGAGUGGCGAACGGGUGAGUAACACGUGAGUAACCUGCCCUUGACUUUGGGAUAACUUCAGGAAACUGGGGCUAAUACAGGAUAGGAGCUCCUGCUGCAUGGUGGGGGCUGGAAAGCUUCGGCGGUUGGGGAUGGACUCGCGGCUUAUCAGCUUGUUGGUGGGGUAGUGGCUUACCAAGGCUUUGACGGGUAGCCGGCCUGAGAGGGUGACCGGCCACAUUGGGACUGAGAUACGGCCCAGACUCCUACGGGAGGCAGCAGUGGGGAAUAUUGCACAAUGGGCGGAAGCCUGAUGCAGCAACGCCGCGUGCGGGAUGACGGCCUUCGGGUUGUAAACCGCUUUCGCCUGUGACGAAGCGUGAGUGACGGUAAUGGGUAAAGAAGCACCGGCUAACUACGUG